Molecule: ribosomal RNA, 914 nt
Filed under: uncultured bacterium
Lineage: Bacteria
Description: bacterial SSU rRNA
Rfam family: Bacterial small subunit ribosomal RNA
Source: RNAcentral
AGAGUUUGAUCAUGGCUCAGAUUGAACGCUGGCGGCAGGCCUAACACAUGCAAGUCGAGCGGUAGAGAGAAGCUUGCUUCUCUUGAGAGCGGCGGACGGGUGAGUAAUGCCUAGGAAUCUGCCUGGUAGUGGGGGAUAACGUUCGGAAACGGACGCUAAUACCGCAUACGUCCUACGGGAGAAAGCAGGGGACCUUCGGGCCUUGCGCUAUCAGAUGAGCCUAGGUCGGAUUAGCUAGUUGGUGGGGUAAUGGCUCACCAAGGCGACGAUCCGUAACUGGUCUGAGAGGAUGAUCAGUCACACUGGAACUGAGACACGGUCCAGACUCCUACGGGAGGCAGCAGUGGGGAAUAUUGGACAAUGGGCGAAAGCCUGAUCCAGCCAUGCCGCGUGUGUGAAGAAGGUCUUCGGAUUGUAAAGCACUUUAAGUUGGGAGGAAGGGCAGUAAAUUAAUACUUUGCUGUUUUGACGUUACCGACAGAAUAAGCACCGGCUAACUCUGUGCCAGCAGCCGCGGUAAUACAGAGGGUGCAAGCGUUAAUCGGAAUUACUGGGCGUAAAGCGCGCGUAGGUGGUUAGUUAAGUUGGAUGUGAAAUCCCCGGGCUCAACCUGGGAACUGCAUUCAAAACUGACUGACUAGAGUAUGGUAGAGGGUGGGUGGAAUUUCCUGUGUAGCGGUGAAAUGCGUAGAUAUAGGAAGGAACACCAGUGGCGAAGGCGACCACCUGGACUGAUACUGACACUGAGGUGCGAAAGCGUGGGGAGCAAACAGGAUUAGAUACCCUGGUAGUCCACGCCGUAAACGAUGUCAACUAGCCGUUGGGAGCCUUGAGCUCUUAGUGGCGCAGCUAACGCAUUAAGUUGACCGCCUGGGGAGUACGGCCGCAAGGUUAAAACUCAAAUGAAUUGACGG